GCAGGCGCGAAACCUUAGCAAUGUGCGAAAGCACGACUGGGUCAGUCCGAGUGAUUCCUGCUAAAGGAAUCUUUUGCUUGUCCUAAAAGCACAGGUGAAUAAGGGGUGGGCAAGUCUGGUGUCAGCCGCCGCGGUAAUACCAGCACCUCGAGUGGUCAGGACGUUUAUUGGGCCUAAAGCAUCCGUAGCCGGCUCUGCAAGUCUUCGGCUAAAUCCACCUGCUCAACAGAUGGGCCGCUGGAGAUACUACAGAGCUAGGGAGUGGGAGAGGCAGACGGUAUUCAGUGGGUAGGGGUAAAAUCCUCUGAUCCAUCGAGGACCACCAGUGGCGAAGGCGGUCUGCCAGAACACGUUCGACGGUGAGGGAUGAAAGCUGGGGGAGCAAACCGGAUUAGAUACCCGGGUAGUCCCAGCUGUAAACGAUGCAAACUCGGUGAUGCGUUGGUUUAUGGCCAAUGCAGUGCCGCAGGGAAGCCGUUAAGUUUGCCGCCUGGGAAGUACGGACGCAAGUCUGAAACUUAAAGGAAUUGGCGGGGGAGCAC
RNAcentral lists this ribosomal RNA (542 nucleotides) under uncultured archaeon. RNAcentral's name for it is "bacterial SSU rRNA". It matches the Rfam family "Archaeal small subunit ribosomal RNA", at positions 335 to 879 of the family's 1478-position model. The record is from RNAcentral.